AUGUUAAUUUGGUUUUUCUAACACAUCUCCAGCUGUACAAGGAGAAUGGGACAUGGUGGGCCACCCUGCACUGUACAAUUUUGAAAACCACUGCACUAAUGUAUUGGUCAGCUUAACUCAUCUGUUUAUCCUGUUGACAUAGCCUUCUCAGUU
Long non-coding RNA from Thalassophryne amazonica, 153 nucleotides. RefSeq lists it as uncharacterized. The transcript is spliced from 2 exons. Lineage: Eukaryota; Metazoa; Chordata; Actinopteri; Batrachoidiformes; Batrachoididae. The record is from RefSeq and is a predicted model, not a curated record.